UUUAGAUCCUGGCUCAGAUUGAACGCUGCGGCAUGCUUAACACAUGCAAGUCGAACGGAAACGAUAGUAGCUUGCUACUAGGCGUCGAGUGGCGGACGGGUGAGUAAUGCAUGGGAAUCUGCCUAUUAGUGGGGGAGUAACACGGGGAAACUCGUGCUAAUACCGCAUAAUCUCUUAGGAGGAAAGCAGGGGAUCUUCGGACCUUGCGCUGAUAGAUGAGCCCAUGUCGGAUUAGCUAGUUGGUGGGGUAAAGGCUUACCAAGGCGACGAUCCGUAGCUGGUUUGUAGAGGAUGAUCAGCCACAUCGGGACUGAGGACACGGCCCGAACUCCUACGGGAGGCAGCAGUGGGGAAUAUUGGACAAUGGGGGCAACCCUGAUCCAGCAAUGCCGCGUGUGUGAAGAAGGCCUUCGGGUUGUAAAGCACUUUCGUUGGUGAGGAAACGGUCUUAAUUAAUACUUGAGGCAAUUGACGUUAACCAAAUAAGAAGCACCGGCUAACUCCGUG
Molecule: ribosomal RNA, 507 nt
Filed under: uncultured Gammaproteobacteria bacterium
Lineage: Bacteria; Pseudomonadati; Pseudomonadota; Gammaproteobacteria
Description: bacterial SSU rRNA
Rfam family: Bacterial small subunit ribosomal RNA
Source: RNAcentral